Non-coding RNA from Vigna umbellata (rice bean), 856 nucleotides. Lineage: Eukaryota; Viridiplantae; Streptophyta; Magnoliopsida; Fabales; Fabaceae. The record is from RefSeq and is a predicted model, not a curated record.
UGUUCUCUCUGGUUUGAUUGCCUUUGCGUGAGUGAGUGUUGUGAGAAAGUUAAGCUUCUAACUCAGAAACCUAACAUUAUUGGUAGGUAAUAACUGGUGGUGUCAUAUAGAUAGGAUCAACUCAACAACUUUUUAAUAAAACCCUGUUCUAUGCCUAUUCUAACAGUCAUCUCUGAGGAAUACUACGGUACUUGAAAAAGGAAGAUAUGGAAUAUUGUAACAUUGUUUUGCUAAAAUGAUCUCAAUAUCUUUACUGGAAUACAAUCUGUAUGAUUUACAAAUGAUUCAUGCGUUCUAAUUUUCAUGUCAUUAUACAUAAUAGGCCGUCACUAGAGUAAAGCCGUACAUUUGCACUAUGCCACUAAGAAUGGAUGACGGCUGGAAUCAAAUACAGUUUAACCUGGCUGAUUUCACCAAGAGAGCAUAUGGUACUAAUUAUGUGGAGACGCUGCGAGUUCAGGUUCAUGCAAACUGUCGCCUGAGAAGGAUAUACUUCUCUGAUCGCCUCUACUCUGAAGAAGAACUCCCACCCGAGUUCAAAUUGUACCUUCCAAUGCAGAAAUCAUGAAUAUGUUGUUGAAGGAUGGAAUGGAGCUUGGAGAGAGAGUUGGAUGUUAUAUUUAUGCAUGCUACAGAUAAUAAGUAUAAUAUUGGACUCUAUUCUAAAAUUUGUAUGUAUGUUGUGCUAGAUCCUAUAUUAACUUUUGCAACAGCUUGUUCCUGACUUGUGUAGGAGGUUCAGAUAUGCUUAUCUCUUAUAUUUGAGGUUAAUUUUAUGAUGUUGUGCUUUGCUUUAAAUGCACUGCUUUACUGAUGUAUGUGCUGAUAUCUGCUUAUCCAAUGAAGGAUUUCCAUU